Molecule: ribosomal RNA, 409 nt
Filed under: bacterium
Lineage: Bacteria
Description: partial 16S ribosomal RNA
Rfam family: Bacterial small subunit ribosomal RNA
Source: RNAcentral
UGGGGAAUAUUGCACAAUGGGCGAAAGCCUGAUGCAGCGACGCCGCGUGAGGGAUGACGGCCUUCGGGUUGUAAACCUCUUUCAGCAGGGACGAAGCGCAAGUGACGGUACCUGCAGAAGAAGCACCGGCUAACUAAGUGCCAGCAGCCGCGGUAAUACGUAGGGUGCAAGCGUUGACCGGAAUUACUGGGCGUAAAGAGUUCGUAGGCGGUUUGUCGCGUCGUUUGUGAAAACCAGCAGCUCAACUGCUGGCUUGCAGGCGAUACGGGCAGACUUGAGUACUGCAGGGGAGACUGGAAUUCCUGGUGUAGCGGUGAAAUGCGCAGAUAUCAGGAGGAACACCGGUGGCGAAGGCGGGUCUCUGGGCAGUAACUGACGCUGAGGAACGAAAGCGUGGGUAGCGAACAGG